This 502-nucleotide ribosomal RNA is filed under the name Diptera sp. BAH_28362_A01. Its description in RNAcentral is "partial 16S ribosomal RNA". It matches the Rfam family "Bacterial large subunit ribosomal RNA", at positions 1853 to 2613 of the family's 2925-position model. The record is from RNAcentral. Lineage: Eukaryota; Metazoa; Arthropoda; Insecta; Diptera.
UCUGACCUGCCCACUGAUGUUUUAAAUGGCCGCAGUAUUUUAACUGUGCAAAGGUAGCAUAAUCAUUAGUCUUUUAAUUGGAGGCUUGUAUGAAUGGUUGGACGAAAUAUUAGCUGUUUCAUAUUAAAUUGAAUUAGAAUUUUAUUUUUUAGUUAAAAAGCUAAAAUGGUUUUAAAAGACGAGAAGACCCUAUAGAUCUUUAUAUUUUAUGUAUUAUAGUUAUUUAGAUUAUUUGAAUUAUGAUUAUAUAAAAUAUUUUAUUGGGGUGAUAUUAAAAUUUAAUUAACUUUUAAUUAGUAUUUACAUUAAUUUAUGAAUAAAUGAUCCAUUAAUAGUGAUUAAAAAAUUAAGUUACCUUAGGGAUAACAGCGUAAUUUUUUUGAAGAGUUCAUAUCGAUAAAAAAGAUUGCGACCUCGAUGUUGGAUUAAGAUAUAAUUUUGGGUGCAGCAAUUCAAUUAUUAAGUCUGUUCGACUUUUAAUUUCUUACGUGAUCUGAUUCCA